AUUGAACGCUGGCGGCAGGCCUAACACAUGCAAGUCGAGCGGAUGAAGGGAGCUUGCUCCUGGAUUCAGCGGCGGACGGGUGAGUAAUGCCUAGGAAUCUGCCGGGUAGGGGUGUAUAACGUCCGGAAACGGGCGCUAAUACCGCAUACGUCCUGAGGGAGAAAGUGGGGGAUCUUCGGACCUCACGCUCUCAGAUGAACCUAGGUCGGAUUAGCUAGUUGGUGGGGUAAGGGCCUACCAAGGCGAGGAUCCGUAACUGGUCUGAGAGGAUGAUCAGUCACACUGGAACUGAGACACGGUCCAGACUCCUACGGGAGGCAGCAGUGGGGAAUAUGAGACAAUGGGCGAAAGCCUUAUCCAGCCAUGCCGCGUGUGUGAAGAAGGUCUUCGGAUUGUAAAGCACUUUAAGUUGGGAGGAAGGGCAGUAAGUUAAUACCUUGCUGUUUUGACGUUACCAACAGAAUAAGCACCGGCUAACUUCGUG
Molecule: ribosomal RNA, 484 nt
Filed under: uncultured bacterium
Lineage: Bacteria
Description: partial 16S ribosomal RNA
Rfam family: Bacterial small subunit ribosomal RNA
Source: RNAcentral